RNAcentral lists this ribosomal RNA (253 nucleotides) under uncultured bacterium. Its description in RNAcentral is "partial 16S ribosomal RNA". It matches the Rfam family "Bacterial small subunit ribosomal RNA", at positions 524 to 776 of the family's 1533-position model. The record is from RNAcentral.
UACGUAGGGUGCAAGCGUUAUCCGGAAUUAUUGGGCGUAAAGAGCGUGUAGGCGGUUUGGUAGGUCCGUUGUGAAAACUCGAGGCUCAACCUCGAGACGCCGAUGGAAACCAUCAGACUAGAGUCCGGAAGAGGAGAGUGGAAUUCCUGGUGUAGCGGUGAAAUGCGCAGAUAUCAGGAAGAACACCCGUGGCUAAGGCGGCUCUCUAGUACGGUACUGACGCUGAGACGCGAAAGCGUGGGGAGCGAACAGG